AGUGAACGCUGGCGGUAGGCCUAACACAUGCAAGUCGAACGGCAGCACAGUAAGAGCUUGCUCUUACGGGUGGUGAGUGGCGGACGGGUGAGGAAUACAUCGGAAUCUACUUUUUCGUGGGGGAUAACGUAGGGAAACUUACGCUAAUACCGCAUACGACCUACGGGUGAAAGCAGGGGAUCUUCGGACCUUGCGCGAUUGAAUGAGCCGAUGUCGGAUUAGCCAGUUGGCGGGGUAAAGGCCCACCAAGGCGACGAUCCGUAGCUGGUCUGAGAGGAUGAUCAGCCACACUGGAACUGAGACACGGUCCAGACUCCUACGGGAGGCAGCAGUGGGGAAUAUUGGACAAUGGGCGCAAGCCUGAUCCAGCCAUACCGCGUGGGUGAAGAAGGCCUUCGGGUUGUAAAGCCCUUUUGUUGGGAAAGAAAAGCAGCAGGUUAAUACCCCGCUGUUCUGACGGUACCCAAAGAAUAAGCACCGGCUAACUUCGUG
This 492-nucleotide ribosomal RNA is filed under the name uncultured bacterium. RNAcentral describes it as "partial 16S ribosomal RNA". It matches the Rfam family "Bacterial small subunit ribosomal RNA", at positions 29 to 507 of the family's 1533-position model. The record is from RNAcentral.